Molecule: non-coding RNA, 726 nt
Organism: Terrapene triunguis (Three-toed box turtle)
Lineage: Eukaryota; Metazoa; Chordata; Testudines; Emydidae
Source: the annotation of a RefSeq genome assembly
CAGCCCCUGGGUCUGAGCAGUUACCAGCCAGUCGCCUGAGAACUUUCCGCUCCAGCACCAGGAAAGAUGAGAUUUUUGCUCCUUUUAAGUUUCGCGGCAGCAGCUUUAGAAGGUGUCCGGUCCCAGGUCCAGCUGGAGGAGUCCGGAGGGGGUGUGAAAAGGCUCGGAGAGUCUCUCCAUAUCACCUGCAUAACCUCCGGGUUCCCCUUCAGCGAUUCCUACCUGAGCUGGCUCCGACAGGCUCCCAGAAAGGGACUAGAAUGGGUCGGUGAUAUAAACCCCGAUGGGAGCGAUAUACGCUACCUUGAUUCCGUGAAAGGCCGAUUCACCAUCUCCAGGAAUAAUUCCAAGAGUGAGCUGUAUCUGCAAAUGUCCGGCCUGAAACCUGAGGAUGCCGCCAUCUAUUACUGUGCAACAGACACAGUCAAACUCCCUUCUCCCGGCAGCCAUGCAGGGGCAGCAGUGACAAUCACCCCCCUUCGGGCUUAGACAGGAGACCCGGCAACUGGGUGAAUGUAACACAAACCUACCGUUUGUGUUACAUUCACCCUGCUGUUACUCACACCUUCUUGUCACCUGUUUGAAAUGGGCCAUCCUGAUUAUCACUGCAAGUUUUCUUUUCUCCUACUGAUAAUAGCUCAGUUUAAUUGCAUUGUCUCGUUAGAGUUGGUAAGGCAACCCCCAUCUUUUCAUGUUCUCUGCAUAUAUAUCUCUCCCUACUGUAUU